This 253-nucleotide ribosomal RNA is filed under the name uncultured bacterium. RNAcentral describes it as "partial 16S ribosomal RNA". It matches the Rfam family "Bacterial small subunit ribosomal RNA", at positions 524 to 776 of the family's 1533-position model. The record is from RNAcentral.
UACGUAGGGUGCAAGCGUUGUCCGGAAUUAUUGGGCGUAAAGAGCUCGUAGGCGGUUUGUCGCGUCUGCUGUGAAAACGCGGGGCUCAACUCCGCGCCUGCAGUGGGUACGGGCAGACUAGAGUGCAGUAGGGGAGACUGGAAUUCCUGGUGUAGCGGUGGAAUGCGCAGAUAUCAGGAGGAAUACCGGUGGCGAAGGCGGGUCUCUGGGCUGUAACUGACGCUGAGGCGCGAAAGCGUGGGGAGCAAACAGG